UGAUUAAUCCUCGGGUAUAAAACAACAACCUUACACCGCAGGUUCAACAACCUUACACCGCAGGUACACAACGUGGCAGUUUGGAUGAAGUUUGUUCUGCACCAGAUUGGGAUUAUAUUUCAAGAUAUAAGUUAAGUAUUUCUUUAUUAUUAAACUAUAAUAACCAAUGAUACCAGUAACUAUAAAUUCUAAUAUUUAUACUACAGUAUUACCAUUGGUAUUACAAUAUAUUUAGCAUUAUUUAUUAUACUAACAUUAUUUAUUUAAGGUAUUGUGCCUUGCGCAUAAACUUAGCGUAUUAGUUUCUCAUUCGAUUUUUAUUUCCGAAAUUGCGCGAACUUCCGUUACAACGAGUUUUAUUUUCCGCAAUUGCGCGACCUUUUAUUACAAUGUUACUACGUCAGUCGCCACGCUACGUCACAGAUUUAGCUUUCAUUGCGUCAUAAUUACUAUCGUUACGUCAAAAGUGGGUCGUGUCGUCGCCAUCUCGUUAUCGCUCCGUAUUAUUACGUCAUAGUUACGUCGAUCCUUGACAAACACAUGCGCGUUAGUGAAUUGACGUCACAAUGCGGUUUCUUCUGCGCGUGCGCAUCGCUGCGUUUUUAUCAUGGGGCCCCAUGUGCGUUCUGCGUCGACGCAAGGCAUAUUACUUGUACAUUAUAACUUUAUUUGCGCCAUGAGCGUGAAGCAAGAAGUUCAAAUGAUUGGUAAAGUAUAAUCACAAUUGACAUUAUUACGUACGUAAGCUCCUUUCCAGAAACCUCGAUGAUGUGACGUCACGAAGUGGUAAUGACGCAACAGAAUAACCCACUUCACUAUGGUACGUGACGUCACAAAGGAACAAUCUGAUCUUCACCCACAAAAGCAAGAACGAAGAAAAGUCGGCGAUAAAGCUGCAGAAGGAAAGCGCAAGACGAAGAACAAAGACGAAGACGCCAAUAAAGGAUAAAUGGUUUGGGGCAUGAAGUAUAUUAUUUGUGUGUUUUGUUUGUAUGUGUGAGCGUGUUAACUGGCGCACUAUUACAGUGUUGCCUUCUGAUAAGAAGUCCUUUGUCUGCUGGAUCUAAUGUUGCCAGCAUUUUUGUCAGUCACUACUAUAGUGCAUUUUGCAUUUUACUGAAAUAUAUGCAAUGAAACUAUGGCGAACAUCUUGCUGGAUCAGAAUUUGUUGUUGUACACUCUAUUGUGUACUUCGUCUACAAAGUUCGAAUCUUUCAACGAUUCUGUAUUGUUCUAAUCGCUUUGUGAGAACGCUGUGUUGGUACACAAAUACUCGAGUAAUGUCAACACUCAUUAUAAUAUGCGCAUAAAAUAAAUAGAUACCCUUUUAAUACUGUUCCAGUGGGACUAUUUUUUGUGUUAAAACGUCAUGUAGCGUGAUUGGGACGAUGGCCACGUCACAAUUACGCUACGAAGUCGAUACGAUGGGUCAGAGCGUUGUCCUGAUCCUGCGCGUUCGGUGCGGUUACGUCAGUUUUGAUUGAGUUACGUCACGGUCAGGUCGUUGCGUGGACGUCGCCGCCAGUGAUGCUACGCUAGAUAUUUAGGUCACUGUUAAUGCGGUUCGUGACAAUCUGGCGCAGUUCCGUAACGGUUGAUGCGGUGCGUAACAUCCGGACGCUAUUAUAUUGUGUGAAGAUACGACGAGAGUAUCGCGGUACCAACAUGGCGGCUUACCUUGUGAUUAGGACAUGCGGAGCCGUUGUUAUGUUCGACUCCUUGCGGUCGGACAUACAAUAUGGUGUACACUGCAUUUGAUUAUCUUUCAGGAUUUGAACCAUUUUUUGUUUGAAGAUAUUUCAAUAAUUAUGUUCGCUUUAAUUAGUUUUUGUAAUCUUCCAUUUUUGGUGAUGAUUGAGCUGCCGUUGUGUUUAUUGCAUGCUCUGCACUUUUUGUAUUUGCACACUGUUGUAUUAUUUUUGUCUCUUUGUCGUCGUGUACGUGUGUAUGUGCCUUCGUUGUAUCAUUUUUGUCUAUGGGGGUUUCUUUAACCUGCGUGGACAGUAACAUCCCGCAAGGGUUUCUCACCUAAGUAGAAACCCACUACCAUUGGUUGGGGGCUUGUCGUGCCGUAGUGGCUUACCACCAACGCCAGCCACAUAAACUAUGAAGGUAUUUUAAUCCUGUUCUAUUUUGCAGAAAGCCG
Ciona intestinalis (vase tunicate) is the source of this 2146-nucleotide non-coding RNA. The record is from RefSeq and is a predicted model, not a curated record. Lineage: Eukaryota; Metazoa; Chordata; Ascidiacea; Phlebobranchia; Cionidae.